This 571-nucleotide ribosomal RNA is filed under the name Alternaria alternata. RNAcentral's name for it is "SSU rRNA". It matches the Rfam family "Eukaryotic small subunit ribosomal RNA", at positions 232 to 810 of the family's 1831-position model. The record is from RNAcentral. Lineage: Eukaryota; Fungi; Ascomycota; Dothideomycetes; Pleosporales; Pleosporaceae.
UUCGGGGCUUUUUGGUGAUUCAUGAUAACUUUACGGAUCGCAUAGCCUUGCGCUGGCGACGGUUCAUUCAAAUUUCUGCCCUAUCAACUUUCGAUGGUAAGGUAUUGGCUUACCAUGGUUUCAACGGGUAACGGGGAAUUAGGGUUCGAUUCCGGAGAGGGAGCCUGAGAAACGGCUACCACAUCCAAGGAAGGCAGCAGGCGCGCAAAUUACCCAAUCCCGACACGGGGAGGUAGUGACAAUAAAUACUGAUACAGGGCUCUUUUGGGUCUUGUAAUUGGAAUGAGUACAAUUUAAACCUCUUAACGAGGAACAAUUGGAGGGCAAGUCUGGUGCCAGCAGCCGCGGUAAUUCCAGCUCCAAUAGCGUAUAUUAAAGUUGUUGCAGUUAAAAAGCUCGUAGUUGAAACUUGGGCCUGGCUGGCGGGUCCGCCUCACCGCGUGCACUCGUCCGGCCGGGCCUUCCUUCUGAAGAACCUCAUGCCCUUCACUGGGCGUGCUGGGGAAUCAGGACUUUUACUUUGAAAAAAUUAGAGUGUUCAAAGCAGGCCUUUGCUCGAAUACGUUAGCAU